RNAcentral lists this ribosomal RNA (370 nucleotides) under Nasutitermes takasagoensis. RNAcentral's name for it is "partial 16S ribosomal RNA". Lineage: Eukaryota; Metazoa; Arthropoda; Insecta; Blattodea; Termitidae. The record is from RNAcentral.
GCAAAGGUAGCAUAAUCAUUAGUUCUUUAAUUGUGAUCUGGUAUGAAUGGCUUGACGAGACAUAAGCUGUCUUAGGGGUAUUGGUUUAUUGAAUUUGGUUUUUGAGUUAAAAUUCUUAGAUGUUUUUAUGGGACGAGAAGACCCUAUAGAGUUUGACAAUUUUCUUAUUUAUUCAUUGUUUGUUUUAUUUAUAUUGAGUGGGAAUAGAUUGUUUUGUUGGGGUGAUGGGAGGAAUAUUAUUUAACUCCUCUUUGUUUUUAUAUAUUUAUGUAUAUGUUUUUGAUCCAUUUAUUUUGAUUAUAAGAUUAAAUUACCUUAGGGAUAACAGCGUUAUCCUCCUUGAGAGUUCUUAUUGGCGGGGGGGUUUGCG